This 794-nucleotide long non-coding RNA is filed under the name Equus caballus (horse). RNAcentral's name for it is "lncRNA (ENSECAG00000042869.2)". Lineage: Eukaryota; Metazoa; Chordata; Mammalia; Perissodactyla; Equidae. The record is from RNAcentral.
UGAAGUGCAAAGGUGUUACUUGGGCGAAUUCACUCAGCAAGGAGGCAUUAGGCCAGACGUGAGGAGGAAGUCUCCAACUCUGAAUCUUGCACAAUUACCACUAAACUGCACAACUUUGGUCUUAAAACUAAUGAGACAAUCAGAAGAAAAAUGCCUGCCUCUCUAGACCGUGAUAUCAAUGGACCCCCAAGAUCUUUCCACACUAACAUGUGACUGCGUAAAGAAGACAAUGCGUUAUUUGCAAGGAAGAUGACAGCAUCAACAAUCUUAUUGACUGAGUGAAAAUGCUAAUAUUAUAUGCCAGUCACACUGCUAAACAAUCUUUAUCAGAAGCCUAUGUAAGAGGUAGUAUUUUAAGCUCAUUUCACAGAAGAUAAUGAGGCCAGGAAUGUUCAUUAACUUGUCCAAAGUCACACAGCAGGUAGCCGCGGGUGUGAAGUCCGACACACUCUCUCUGAGAUCCAGCACCUAGUCCAGACCUCUGUAUGGACCCCAUGCCCCUCUUUUCCUGAGACCAACAGGAGAACAUGCCCAGUGGCACAAAACUCGACAUGCUGCAGAGGGAAAAUCUCUAUAUUUCACCAGACAAUCCCAACAAUCUAAGAAGCUUCCCUAACUGUGGAAAAAAAUAAAUGAUCUCAAUAUGAUGAAACAUAAUGUAUAAACCUGCAACCUGCAAUUGUUCCGGCUACCAUUCAAGUACAAAUAAUCGCUUGGCUGGAAUUUGGAAGAGAGGUCAAGGUGGCCUACCUCAAAUUUGCUUUAAAUUGAGAACAGAAUUAAAAGAUUCUUUU